UGGAUGAGCCCGCGGCCUAUCAGCUUGUUGGUGGGGUAAUGGCCUACCAAGGCGGCGACGGGUAGCCGGCCUGAGAGGGUGGACGGCCACAUUGGGACUGAGAUACGGCCCAGACUCCUACGGGAGGCAGCAGUGGGGAAUAUUGCACAAUGGGCGCAAGCCUGAUGCAGCGACGCCGCGUGGGGGAUGAAGGCCUUCGGGUUGUAAACUCCUUUCGCUACGGCCGAAGCUUUUUGAGCGGUACAUAUCUUGAAAGCACCGGCCUACACCUCGA
This 274-nucleotide ribosomal RNA is filed under the name uncultured actinomycete. RNAcentral describes it as "partial 16S rRNA". It matches the Rfam family "Bacterial small subunit ribosomal RNA", at positions 222 to 508 of the family's 1533-position model. The record is from RNAcentral. Lineage: Bacteria; Bacillati; Actinomycetota; Actinomycetes; Actinomycetales.